Molecule: long non-coding RNA, 1752 nt
Organism: Cyprinus carpio (common carp)
Lineage: Eukaryota; Metazoa; Chordata; Actinopteri; Cypriniformes; Cyprinidae
Source: Ensembl
GCGCUCCCGCGAGUGCAGCUGUCACCGGGGCAGCGAAGCGCGCUCCGAGCUCUGCGUCUGUCUCUCAGAGAGCGCGCGCGCGCGUGUGAGAGAGAGAGAGAGAGAGAGAGAGAGAGAGAGUUUUUGUAUUUGAACAUCAUGCUUCUGCAGUUCCGUGCCGUUUUGAGGAAACGUGCGUGCAGAAUCGCUGCUUUUUAGGUGCCUUUCUCAUAUCAGGAAGAAAGAGAGAGAGUCAGUGCAAGAAGCCUCCGGAGACACACACCCACCCCCCACGCAAACACACACACACACACACACACACACACACACACACACUGCGCUUUCACUCGCGCAGAAGCCGAGGAGCGAGAGACACGCACUGCUGUGUGGUUUGGAGUGCAAACACUCAUCUGAACGCACGAGUCGUGGAUUAUUACGCUAAGAACGCUUGGAAACCAUGAGCUGGGGAACCGAGCUAUGGGACUACACCACUGGUUGACACCAGUGACAUAUGACAAACUGUGUGAAGAAUUGUACAUAAGAAGUUUGGGAAUAGAAUAAUGCCCAACAAACUGCAGUUUGAUAAUCAGAAAAACAAGAAGAAGAAUAUGAAGAAUAAACAAAAAGAGGCAGAAUCCAAAAGAUCAAGAGAUCCGAACACAGUGAAAGCUGUUAGAUGGAGCAGCAUGGAGGCUCUGAAACCAGACCUGUCUGGUGAUCAAGCUGUAGAGUGUCAUUCUGAUGUAUCAGAGAAGGUCCAGACUGAGGUGAGUUUACAUUACUCACAGUUAGAAUACACUGAAUGAUCACGAUAUUCAAGAAUGUAUUUUAGUGAUGACUAAUAUUUGUGAAUGAAAAUGAAUGCUGUUUCAGAGAACACCAGGACCUUAAACUCCAGAAUGUGAUUGGGGUUCAUUCAUCAACCUGCACAACUUUCCUCAGUUGUCUAGGAUCUUCAGACCAUCCUCCAUGGCUGCACAUUUGGAGCUGCACAUAUUGAACAGCAGUAAUGUUAAUGAUGACUGAUCAGGAGAUAUUUCAUGAAGUGUUUUGAAUUACACUUGCAUUGUAGCCACGUUAUUUUUUCAGACCCCACGUUGGGAACCGUUGUCGUCAAACCUUUAAGUCUUUUAACUGUUGUUUAAUUGACUUCUUGAUGUUACUGAAUUUGUUUAAAAAAUGUUUUGCUCUGCUUCAUAUUUAUUUGUAUCGGUUAUCUAUUUUUACGUCAUUGUUUUAUAUUAUAAUUGCCAAUCUUUUCCACUGACUACAUAAUUUUGCAAAAAGGUUUCAAAAAUAUAAGUAGGCCUAUUGGUUUAUGAAAAAGGUGUCAAAAGUUUUAAUUACCAAGAUUAUUUGUGGUAUUUUUUUUUAAGUCUUAAAGAGACAUUGUCUCACCCAAAACUAUUAUUAUAGUAUUAAUGCCUGGUGUGAAAACAAAAAGUGGUCUGAAAUGGCUUCCUAGAGUUGAAGAUUGUAUUUAUGUUGCCACCAGCAUCAAAAGAAAUUGAAUGUAUGUACGCAUGAAUUCAAUUUCUUGAGUAUGAAGUUUAAACAUGUUCUCUGCGCAUUAUACUAAAUAAUAUUUUUUUCUGUUUAAUAUUACAGUGUUCUGGACUUUAUACUGACAUUCAUCAAUGUAGAGUCAUGCACAAGCAAAUACAUCUUAAUAGCAGGCUUCUUUGUUUCCUGUGUGAUUGAUGGUCAUGUGAUCUCUAUGGUGGCUGUUAUUUGUGGAAUAAAACUGCUUUUGCUACACCCCUGGUUGAGUCU